AUGACAACCCCCCCUGUCGCAACCCCGGUGGUUGACAUGGAGGACGUGGAGGAGGACGUGGUGAGUGUGGGGAUGAAGGUGCGCCCCUUGUCAUCGCUGCGCUCACCUCGUAUGGUCUGCUACUCGCGCUCGCCAGGGUCCCCCCCUUCUCCAGCCUUGGGGCCCCCGGACUUGGAGCCGCCUUCGUCCUUGGAUCUGGCCUUGGUGACCCUACUGCGGUGGGUUCCAAGCUUCGGGGCGGGGCUUCUCCGCUGGUGGCGGCCCGUCAGAGUGCGCGGCUUAGCCAGUCCCAGGUCCUUCUAA
This 303-nucleotide ribosomal RNA is filed under the name Triticum aestivum (bread wheat). RNAcentral describes it as "partial small subunit ribosomal RNA". Lineage: Eukaryota; Viridiplantae; Streptophyta; Magnoliopsida; Poales; Poaceae. The record is from RNAcentral.